Molecule: ribosomal RNA, 497 nt
Filed under: uncultured bacterium
Lineage: Bacteria
Description: partial 16S ribosomal RNA
Rfam family: Bacterial small subunit ribosomal RNA
Source: RNAcentral
GAUGAACGCUGGCGGCGUGCCUAAUACAUGCAAGUCGAGCGAACGGACGAGAAGCUUGCUUCUCUGAUGUUAGCGGCGGACGGGUGAGUAACACGUGGAUAACCUACCUAUAAGACCGGGAUAACUUCGGGAAACCGGAGCUAAUACCGGAUAAUAUUUUGAACCGCAUGGUUCAAAAGUGAAAGACGGUCUUGCUGUCACUUAUAGAUGGAUCCGCGCUGCAUUAGCUAGUUGGUAAGGUAACGGCUUACCAAGGCAACGAUGCAUAGCCGACCUGAGAGGGUGAUCGGCCACACUGGCACUGAGACACGGUCCAGACUCCUACGGGAGGCAGCAGUAGGGAAUCUUCCGCAAUGGGCGAAAGCCUGACGGAGCAACGCCGCGUGAGUGAUGAAGGUCUUCGGAUCGUAAAACUCUGUUAUUAGGGAAGAACAUAUGUGUAAGUAACUGUGCACAUCUUGACGGUACCUAAUCAGAAAGCCACGGCUAACUACGUG